GCGGAUCAUGCGGUACCAUAGC
RNAcentral lists this microRNA (22 nucleotides) under Caenorhabditis briggsae. RNAcentral's name for it is "Cbr-Mir-96-P3_3p* (star (passenger))". The record is from RNAcentral. Lineage: Eukaryota; Metazoa; Nematoda; Chromadorea; Rhabditida; Rhabditidae.